AUUGAACGCUGGCGGCAGGCUUAACACAUGCAAGUCGAGCGAGCGGCGGACGGGUGAGUAAUGUCUGGGAAACUGCCUGAUGGAGGGGGAUAACUACUGGAAACGGUAGCUAAUACCGCAUACCAUCAGAUGUGCCCAGAUGGGAUUAGCUAGUAGGUGGGGUAAUGGCUCACCUAGGCGACGAUCCCUAGCUGGUCUGAGAGGAUGACAGGCAACACUGGAACGUAGACACGGUCCAGCAUCCAACGGGAGGCAGAGGUGGGGAAUAUUGCACAAUGGGAGCAAGCCUGAUGCAGCCAUGCCGCGUGUGUGAAGAAGGCCUUCGGGUUGUAAAGCACUUUCAGCGGGGAGGCGUUACUCGCAGAAGAAGCACCGGCUAACUCCGUGCCAGCAGCCGCGUUAAUAC
This 406-nucleotide ribosomal RNA is filed under the name uncultured bacterium. RNAcentral describes it as "partial 16S ribosomal RNA". It matches the Rfam family "Bacterial small subunit ribosomal RNA", at positions 30 to 526 of the family's 1533-position model. The record is from RNAcentral.